CAAUAGCGUAUAUUAAAGUUGUUGCAGUUAAAAAGCUCGUAGUUGGAUUUCUGGUCGGAAGCUCCUGUCCUCUGAUGAGCGUACAAGUGCGUCCUACCAUCCUUCUGUUAACCUUUAAGGCUUUCGCGGCUUUCUAGGGGCUCAGAUAUUUUACCUUGAGAAAAUUAGAGUGUUUCAGGCAGGCUAGCGCCGGAAUACAUUAGCUUGGAAUAAUGGAAUAGGACUUUUGCCUCUUCUGUUGGUCAUGAGGCUCGAGUAAUGAUUAAUAGGGAUAGUUGGGGGCAUUAGUACUUAACUGUCAGAGGUGAAAUUCUCGGAUUUGUUAAAGACUAACUUAUGCGAAAGCAUUUGCCAAGGAUGUUUUCAUUAA
This 370-nucleotide ribosomal RNA is filed under the name uncultured eukaryote. RNAcentral's name for it is "partial 18S ribosomal RNA". It matches the Rfam family "Eukaryotic small subunit ribosomal RNA", at positions 592 to 976 of the family's 1831-position model. The record is from RNAcentral.